Molecule: unclassified non-coding RNA, 2660 nt
Filed under: Leishmania donovani
Lineage: Eukaryota; Euglenozoa; Kinetoplastea; Trypanosomatida; Trypanosomatidae
Description: gene:LdHU3.07.1290(CDS-product:Radial_spokehead-l ike_protein_putative)
Source: RNAcentral
CUGCACUCCGAGUUCAAGGGACGCCCCCCUCUCCCCAGCCACCGACCACCACCGCCACCGCCGCGUAGUUAAAAAGCAUUUUCUCUGGUCUUUGCGACACAGCGGCCCUCUCUCCGGCUCCUGCUUCUGCGCCGCGUGUGUGCGUGCGCUUACCGCGAGCGCACCGUGCUCUUUUACCCAGCCUUCUGUUUUUCGCCUACGACGGCUCCCCUUAGCCGGCUGUGUUGGCUCUUCUCGCACCGCCUCGCUCUCUCCUUCCUUCUCGCCCUCUGCAUCUCUGUUAGCAAUCAUGUCCGUCGCCAACGCUGCGUACCUCCCGCUCAUCGGCAGCUGUUUGACAGCAGGAGAGCAGACGGCGCUGCAGUGCUCGCUUCCACUCCUCUCUCAGCGCUACCGCGGUACACCGAUGAAGCUGUGGGGUAAGGUCACUGGUAUCAAGGCAAAUUACUGGGUCGCGCAGGCUUUCCCGAACGGCGAGUUCGCGCCGGCUGUCAGCUUCUACAGCAUCGAUGGUGGAAACACGUGGACGAUGCUCUCGGAGCUGACGGAGGAGCAAGUGGCCCUGUGCGAGGCCCUCCGCGGCCCCUACCAAGGGGUACCAAGCUACGAAUAUAUGAUGCGUCAAGAUCUCCCGGCCGAGACAGACGAGGCCGCCGUGACCAUGCCGACGCCGGACGGCAUUCUGAAGAAGGCCGAGGACGACAUCGCUGCCGCCCGCGCUGCUAGUGACGCCAACAGCGACGCCGACGAAUCCGAAGGCGAUGACGAGGAGCAGGACGACGAGGAAGAGGAGGACGAGGAGGACGCCGGUGCCGUGCCGGCGCCGCGCAAGCGUAUGGCGAAGUUCCGCAUCCUUAGCGUCACGGAGGCGAUGCGUUUAGCCCACUUUGUGCAGCUGCACGACGCGGACUGUCGCCUGACGGUGCGCGGCAUGUACGUCCUGCAAGACGGCGCGGCUGUCGGUGCGCGCAACAGUACCUUUGGCGGCCAGCCUCUGCACAACGCGAAGAAGCCGUCGUGCUACGUAAAGAUGGCGCGUGCGGGGACGGAGGAGCGGAACCGCAUCCUGUAUGGCCCCACGUACAACCCACACACGGACUACUUGAUGCCCAUCACGGACGAUGCCCCUGCGGGUGUGUGGUCGGUCAAGUACAACGCAACGGCGAACGUCGUGAGCGUACGCAACCUCUUCUACGAGGGCUCCCUCUUCUGGUACCGUCCGGGCACGCUGGAGUGCGGCCAGGUCUACUGCGGCCCCGGCGAGCGGAACUUCGACCUGUGCUUCAUGCUGUAGCCGGCUGUUGGUGGGGCUUGAUGCGAAGGCGCUCGCAGGCGGCGUCGGAGAUGGCGAGAGGGGCGACGGAGGCCGGUUCGGUGAGAGCCACACCCCACUGCAGGGAAAGGUGUGGCCCUUAACGGGCGCACGCGACGAAAAGGAAGGCAGAGGUCGGUGGGACAGCACGGAGUGCCCGCUGAAGUGUGCGCCUGAACACUUGAACAGCUCGUUUCCCGCCAAGGCUGCCGCUCUGUUCAUGAGGGACAUCGUCCCGGAUGCGCAGCGUAGUUCACAUCAUAUUACUUUCCAUACACCUGCCUCGUCUUGUCUCUCUGACCUUUCUCCGUCUCCGCCGCGCCCUCGGGAGUGGUGCUUGCCUGAGUGUGCGAGAUGUACAUAAUAUCUGUUCGAGAGGGAAGACAGGAAGCCGAACGGCGCGGCUCGGCACACCACCUUCACCUGCUCACCUUGGCUCUUCCCCCUCCCAUCCCGUAGCCACUGCCGUAGCUGCUGCUGCGCUGAACGGCUAGCGCUUUCCCGGUUGGGCGACGUUGCGGUUGUCUGCAUGCUUUGUUGAGCACGUACUUCGCCUCGGGGGCUGAGUGGGUGUGUCUGUGUGUGAGCGGCUCCUGGGGCUUGGUGCUUCCUUCUGUCCUUCUUUCUUUCAUGUACCGGUGGGCGCCCGUACCCCGACGCGCUUCAUCUUCUCCCUUCCAUCGUUGCAGGGUUGCGUUGUAGCGGUGCCCACCCCCUCCCCCUUGGCGCACAUGACGUCACUGCCCACCACCAGGCGAGGCAUCAAGAAGGCCACAGUCACUGCAUCGCACAUAUGGGGCGAAGGUGAGUGAAGGCCAUUGUGACUGACCGCUCCUUUCGGAGUCUCUUAAACGCACACACACACACAGAGCGAGCAAGCGGGAUCAUGCGUGCGUGUGUGUGUGGACGCGUCAACGUCUACUCCAUCUCUCUUCUCCACAUGGAUACCCGAACACGUGCGCAUCGGUGCACGCCAGUGGGGGUGGGGUGGGGGAGGGGGACAACGGCCGCUCCGAAGUCACAACCACGGCGGCCUCCUUUUUCAUUCCAAGGGGGAGGGUGCUCUCAUACACGAUUGGUGCCCGCUUAUUCGUUUUAUGGGGUAAGGGGAAAGACCCUCCACCUACGAACGUACUUCCUGCGCGCCCGCCCGCUCUGCCUCCCUCACGCACAAUCCCCAUCUCUCUCUCUCACCGCCUCUCGCACACACAGAGGCAGUCGGCUUCCCCCCUCCCCCCCCCCCCCCCCCCCAAGCCACGCUCCUUUCCUUGACCGCACACACGCACACACGACAGCAUCGUUCGCUUGCAUGCCGACACGCCCCUCUUCCCUCUUCUUCGUAUCUCAG